GCUUGAGCACGUAGGUGGGUUUGUAAGUCAGAUGUGAAAGCCUUCUGUUCAACGGAAGAAUUGCAUCUGAAACUACAAGUCUUGAGUGUAGGAGGGGAGAAUGGAACUUCUGGUGGAGCGGUGAAAUGCGUAGAUAUCAGAAGGAACGCCGGCGGCGAAAGCGAUUCUCUGGCCUAUUACUGACACUCAGUGUGCGAAAGCUAGGGGAGCAAACGGGAUUAGAUACCCCGGUAGUCCUAGCCGUAAACGAUGGGCACUAAGUAGAGGGGAUUACCGAUGUUCUCUCUGCCGUAGCUAACGCAUUAAGUGCCCCGCCUGGGGAGUACGGCCGCAAGGCUAAAACUCAAAAGAAUUGACGGGGGCUCGCACAAGCGGUGGAGCAUGUGGCUUAAUUCGAUGCAACGCGAAGAACCUUACCGGGGCUUGACAUGGUAGAAGUAGGAACCCGAAAGGGUAACGAACGGUAUCCAGUCCGUGACUAUCACAGGUGUUGCAUGGCUGUCGUCAGCUCGUGUCGUGAGACGUUGGGUUAAGUCCCCUAACGAGCGAAACCCUUGUUUUUAGUUACCAGCGGGUUAUGCCGGGUACUCUAGAAAGACUGCCGUCGUCAAGACGGAGGAAGGUGGGGAUGACGUCAAGUCAUCAUGGCCCUUAUGCCCCGGGCUGCACACGUGCUACAAUGGUCGGUACAAACGGAAGCGAAGCCGAGAGGUGAAGCGAAUCCAAGC
This 728-nucleotide ribosomal RNA is filed under the name uncultured Planctomycetota bacterium. RNAcentral's name for it is "bacterial SSU rRNA". It matches the Rfam family "Bacterial small subunit ribosomal RNA", at positions 558 to 1278 of the family's 1533-position model. The record is from RNAcentral. Lineage: Bacteria; Pseudomonadati; Planctomycetota.